GUCUACAGCCAUGCUACCCUGUACAAGCCCCAUCCUGUCUGAUCUCAGAAGCUAAGCAGGGUUGGGCCUGGUUAGUACUUGGAUAGGAGACCACUAGGAAGACCAGGUACUGUAGGUG
RNAcentral lists this ribosomal RNA (118 nucleotides) under Pteropus alecto (black flying fox). Lineage: Eukaryota; Metazoa; Chordata; Mammalia; Chiroptera; Pteropodidae. The record is from RNAcentral.